RNAcentral lists this ribosomal RNA (253 nucleotides) under uncultured bacterium. RNAcentral describes it as "partial 16S ribosomal RNA". It matches the Rfam family "Bacterial small subunit ribosomal RNA", at positions 524 to 776 of the family's 1533-position model. The record is from RNAcentral.
UACAGAGGGUGCGAGCGUUAAUCGGAAUUACUGGGCGUAAAGCGUGCGUAGACGGUUAUUUAAGUCGGAUGUGAAAGCCCCGGGCUCAACCUGGGAAUUGCAUUCGAGACUGAAUAGCUAGGGUACGGUAGAGGGAAGCGGAAUUUCCGGUGUAGCGGUGAAAUGCUUAGAUAUCGUCAAGAACACCUAUUGCGAAGGCAGCUAACUAAGCUUUAACUGACGCUGAGGCACGAAAGUGUGGGGAUCAAACAGG